GGGUAACCUGCCUGUAAGACUGGGAUAACUCCGGGAAACCGGGGCUAAUACCGGAUGGUUGUUUGAACCGCAUGGUUCAAACAUAAAAGGUGGCUUCGGCUACCACUUACAGAUGGACCCGCGGCGCAUUAGCUAGUUGGUGAGGUAACGGCUCACCAAGGCAACGAUGCGUAGCCGACCUGAGAGGGUGAUCGGCCACACUGGGACUGAGACACGGCCCAGACUCCUACGGGAGGCAGCAGUAGGGAAUCUUCCGCAAUGGACGAAAGUCUGACGGAGCAACGCCGCGUGAGUGAUGAAGGUUUUCGGAUCGUAAAGCUCUGUUGUUAGGGAAGAACAAGUACCGUUCGAAUAGGGCGGUACCUUGACGGUACCUAACCAGAAAGCCACGGCUAACUACGUGCCAGCAGCCGCGGUAAUACGUAGGUGGCAAGCGUUGUCCGGAAUUAUUGGGCGUAAAGGGCUCGCAGGCGGUUUCUUAAGUCUGAUGUGAAAGCCCCCGGCUCAACCGGGGAGGGUCAUUGGAAACUGGGGAACUUGAGUGCAGAAGAGGAGAGUGGAAUUCCACGUGUAGCGGUGAAAUGCGUAGAGAUGUGGAGGAACACCAGUGGCGAAGGCGACUCUCUGCUCUGUAACUGACGCUGAGGAGCGAAAGCGUGAGGAGCGAACAGGAUUAGAUACCCUGGUAGUCCACGCCGUAAACGAUGAGUGCUAAGUGUUAGGGGGUUUCCGCCCCUUACUGCUGCAGCUAACGCAUUAAGCACUCCGCCUGGGGAGUACGGUCGCAAGACUGAAACUCAAAGGAAUUGACGGGGGCCCGCACAACCGGUGGAACAUGUGGUUUAAUUCAAAGCAACGCGAAGAACCUUACCAGG
This 875-nucleotide ribosomal RNA is filed under the name Bacillus subtilis. Its description in RNAcentral is "bacterial SSU rRNA". It matches the Rfam family "Bacterial small subunit ribosomal RNA", at positions 119 to 978 of the family's 1533-position model. The record is from RNAcentral. Lineage: Bacteria; Bacillati; Bacillota; Bacilli; Caryophanales; Bacillaceae.